Molecule: ribosomal RNA, 492 nt
Filed under: uncultured bacterium
Lineage: Bacteria
Description: partial 16S ribosomal RNA
Rfam family: Bacterial small subunit ribosomal RNA
Source: RNAcentral
AGUGAACGCUGGCGGUAGGCCUAACACAUGCAAGUCGAACGGCAGCACAGUAAGAGCUUGCUCUUACGGGUGGCGAGUGGCGGACGGGUGAGGAGUACAUCGGAAUCUACUUUUUCGUGGGGGAUAACGUAGGGAAACUUACGCUAAUACCGCAUACGACCUACGGGUGAAAGCAGGGGAUCUUCGGACCUUGCGCGAUUGAAUGAGCCGAUGUCGGAUUAGCUAGUUGGCGGGGUAAGGGCCCACCAAGGCGACGAUCCGUAGCUGGUCUGAGAGGAUGAUCAGCCACACUGGAACUGAGACACGGUCCAGACUCCUACGGGAGGCAGCAGUGGGGAAUAUUGGACAAUGGGCGCAAGCCUGAUCCAGCCAUACCGCGUGGGUGAAGAAGGCCUUCGGGUUGUAAAGCCCUUUUGUUGGGAAAGAAAAGCAGCAGGUUAAUACCCCGCUGUUCUGACGGUACCCAAAGAAUAAGCACCGGCUAACUUCGUG